CUCCGUGGCAAAACUCCAAAACUUUAUUGAACUUGGCCGAGGUUUUCUCCUCCUCCUCCUCCUCCUCUUCUCCUCCUCUUCCUCCUCCUCUUCUCCUCUUUCUGCUCCUCUCCUUCGUGGCAAAACUCCAAAACUUUAUUGAACUUGGCCGAGGUUUUCUCCUCCUCCUCCUCCUCCUCUUCUCCUCUUUCUGCUCCUCUCCUCCGUGGCAAAAUUCCAAAAUUUUAUUGAGCUUGGCCGAGGUUUUCUCCUCCUCUUCUCCUCCUCCUCCUCCUCCUCCUCUUCUCCUCUUUCUGCUCCUCUCCUUCGUGGCAAAAUUCCAAAAUUUUAUUGAACCUGGCCGAGGUUUUCUCCUCCUCCUCCUCCUCCUCCUCCUCUUCUCCUCCUCCUCCUCCUCUUCUCCUCUUUCUUCUGCUCCUCUCCUUCGUGGCAAAAUUCCAAAAUUUUAUUGAGCUUGGCCGAGGUUUUUUCCUCCUCCUCCUCCUCCUCUUCUCCUCCUUUUUCUGCUCCUCUCCUUCGUGGCAAAAUUCCAAAACUUUAUUGAACUUGGCCGAGGUUUUCUCCUCCUCUUCCUCCUCCUCCUCCUCCUCCUCCUCCUCCUCCUCCUCCUCCGUGCCAAAGUUAUUUCCCAGGAAUUUUCAUCGCCACUUCCAGAAUCUCAAUAAAAAGGAAUUUAAAAUCAUCGGGAUCUCCUCCUCCUCCUCCUGCUCCUCCUCCUCUUUCUACUCCUCCGUGGCAAAAUUCCAAAAUUUUAUUGAACUUGGCCGAGGUUUUUUCCUCCUCCUCCUCCUCUUCUCCUCCUUUUCCUGCUCCUCUCCCCCGUGCCAAAGUUAUUUCCCGGGAAUUUUCAUCGCCACUUCCAGAAUCUCAAUAAAAAGGAAUUUAAAAUCAUCGGGAUCUCCUCGUUUUUCUCCUCCGUGGCAAAAUUCCAAAAUUUUCUCGAACUUGCUCAGCGCCCGGAUCGCGUUUCCAGCGCGUCCCUCCUCCACC
Molecule: long non-coding RNA, 990 nt
Filed under: Lonchura striata (white-rumped munia)
Lineage: Eukaryota; Metazoa; Chordata; Aves; Passeriformes; Estrildidae
Description: domestica (Bengalese finch) lncRNA (ENSLSDG00000008360.1)
Source: RNAcentral